AACGAACGCUGGCGGCAGGCUUAACACAUGCAAGUCGAACGGGUGUAGCAAUACAUCAGUGGCAGACGGGUGAGUAACACGUGGGAACCUUCCUAGGGGUACGGAACAACUCAGGGAAACUUGAGCUAAUACCGUAUACGUCCGUAAGGAGAAAGAUUCAUCGCCCCUAGACGGGCCCGCGUCGGAUUAGGUAGUUGGUGGGGUAACGGCCUACCAAGCCUACGAUCCGUAGCUGAUCUGAGAGGANGAUCAGCCACACUGGGACUGAGACACGGCCCAGACUCCUACGGGAGGCAGCAGUGGGGAAUCUUGGACAAUGGGCGCAAGCCUGAUCCAGCCAUGCCGCGUGAGUGAAGAAGGCC
RNAcentral lists this ribosomal RNA (362 nucleotides) under uncultured bacterium. Its description in RNAcentral is "bacterial SSU rRNA". It matches the Rfam family "Bacterial small subunit ribosomal RNA", at positions 29 to 416 of the family's 1533-position model. The record is from RNAcentral.